AACCGGCCCGGACCGGUAACCGGACGGGUCGAAAAAAAAUCGACCCGGACCGGACCGGUGGAACCGGUUGACACCUCUAGGUGAGACACAUCUGAGAAGUAGAACACAUUAGAAAGUCACUAUGCCUCAAUUGUCCGGUGACUUUUCACGGCUAUCUUGCUUUAUCUCUCUCCGUCAGUGUUGUGCAAAAUCCAACACUACCAAAAGAUCCAUCAUCGUUUGGUGACCAAAC
RNAcentral lists this long non-coding RNA (232 nucleotides) under Nicotiana benthamiana. RNAcentral's name for it is "long non-coding RNA (NBEN_LNC012146)". The record is from RNAcentral. Lineage: Eukaryota; Viridiplantae; Streptophyta; Magnoliopsida; Solanales; Solanaceae.